Papaver somniferum (opium poppy) is the source of this 3560-nucleotide long non-coding RNA. RefSeq lists it as uncharacterized. The transcript has 3 exons. Lineage: Eukaryota; Viridiplantae; Streptophyta; Magnoliopsida; Ranunculales; Papaveraceae. The record is from RefSeq and is a predicted model, not a curated record.
CACUCCACUAGAAAUUCCAAGCUCAAGAAGAAGAGGGGAAGUAUUAUAAAGCAUUUCAUAACAACUAUACUGUAAUCAACAACACCCUAUAUGUAAGUGUGUGCUUCAAGAUUUGGUUUUCCCUAAUUUUUCAAGCCUUGAUUUCUUAAAUUGCAUAUUGAUUUACUCUAUCAGAGAUGUGAUUCACUAGCAUCGUAGUAUAUAGCAUCAUUAUAAGUUGAUAUUGAUGCUGUUGAAAUGGAUUAUUCAUCAAAAUCUGUAGAUUAUUCUGUUCAAUUGUUCGGUUAUGGUUUGGUUUGGCUGUGGUUCUAUAAUAGCUGCGAUAUGAGGUUUCUUUGUUGUUGAAACCCAUCCACUAAAGAAUACAAAAAUAGAAUAUAGAUUUCAUGUCUCCGAUAAAAAUGGGAGAAAAUCUUGAAGUUGGGUGAGAGAUGUAUGAAUAUCUCUUUGUUGUCUACUCUCAAGUAAUUUACAAGACAUUAUUAGAAGAGCUAAGAAGGAUUCAGAUUUGAGUUUAUUAACUUCGGAUACGAGAUUGUUGAGUUGUGAAUUUGCUUCGCGUCCUUGGAUUCUUGUCAUUGCUUGUUCAGAUGUUGUUUACCAAGUUGAUUUGAGGUUUGAUGGGAGUAGUGCAAACAUUCUCGCGAAGAUUGACUUUGCUGCUGCGCGUUGAGAUGGGCCGUCACAUUUGUAGAGCGAGUUCUGAUGGUUUUAAUCUCAGUAUAGCAAGUAAAUAUAGCCUAUAUAUCUUUGAUACCAGAAAGCCACUAUCUCCUGUGAUGUUGUUUACCAAGUUGACUCGAGGUUUGACGAGAAGAGUGCAAGCAUUCUAGCAAAGAGCGAGUUGUUUGCUGCCGCGAAUUCGGAUGAGCCGUCACAUUUUGUAGAGGGGUUCUGAUGGUUUUAAUUUCAGUAUAGCAAGUAAAUAUAGCAUAUACCUCUGUGAUACCAGAAAGCCACUAUCUCCUGGGUUACAAUGGGCUCAGAAUCUUGAUGAACCUACUUAUAUGCAGGUGUUCAAGUGGAUUCGACAAGGUUAUUUCUUGAAUUCCGUUGACGAAUAGAUCUUGUAAAUUAAUCUUUUCGGUUCAUGGAUAUGUCUGAAGACUGGAAAUCUUAUUUCCCUAUCCGCUCUGUCCAUUUCCCACCUCUUCUUUUAUCUGAAGAAUCUACAAUAAAAUCUUCUUUGGGUUCACUUCUGUUUAGCCCUUCUCCUGGAACCCAAAGAACAGAAUUUUCAUCUCCAUGUAUUCACUUUAAAUCUGAUGAUUUCUCUACAAUGUCCAACAACAAUCUCGGUUUUCUCAAAUCCCCUGACAAUGAUAUGUUGGUUUUCUUCCCUAAUGGUGAUAAUCUCCACAGACUGAGAUUUGUUAAACUAUCGCUAAAAAUAGAUGAAAAACCAGCCAUACAUACUGCAUCAGAUUGUGAAUUCGAAAGCGGUGGAAUUGCUAAGAUUAUGGUUACUUCUGUUUAUGAUGGUGCUGCUGCUGCUGCAUUUGCUUCUCGUAAGGGGUCUCCACCUGUUUCAGCACCUUCUGUUACCCUAUGUUUUUUUUUAGCAUGUACAACCAGCUCUACCCAUUGGUUUAGGAUUGACUGUAUCAAUUCUCCAAGCCUGUCUUUCAUGCUUGUUGGAAUCCAUAUUUGGAGGAAGAAUGUCUUCUUUUGUUAGAUGGUGGUGCAGUAAUCUUGUUUGAUGUCAGUUGCUGUUCUGGAACUCAGAUUUCAUAAGACAAUAUUAAUAGAACUAAUAUUGAUGUUUACUUUUAUGGAAGGAUUCAGAUGUGGGUUUCUGAACUUUAAAUAUGAGAUGGUUGAGUUGUGAAUCUGCUUGGCAUCCUCGGAUUUUUGUCGUUGCUUGUUCAGAUGUUGUUUACCAAGUUGAUUCAAGGUUCAACGAGAGUAGUGCAAGUAUUCUAACAAAGAUCGAGUUAUUUGUUUGCCAAGCAUUCAGAUGGACGUAACAAAAAUUUGUUACAUUUUGUAAAGCGGGUUCUGAAGGUUUCAAUUUCAGUAUAGCAAGUAAAUAUAUAGUCUAUAUCUCUUCGAUACCAGAAAGCUGGUAUCUCCUGUGUUACAAUGGGCUACUCAAUGUGGUUUUGCCAUUUGCUGGGGUCAUUUUUGAAUAAUGACUCGUGUUUCUUCUUCUUUGGGAUGCCUUUGCCAGCUCUUGCCAGCUCGACCUGAAUCGGUGGCUUCUAUAGUUUCAGAAUUAUGCCACACCUUUUAUUCAUGGAGUCUUUCUUUGGACCUAUCUUUGUCCGGUCGCCAAUGAUAUAGUGGUGAUUGCUUCAUACAAGAGGAAAUUUCAGAGGCAAUGCGUCUUAAGACAGAAAUCGUUUUGGGAUUCUGCAUCGUCAAUGGAGAUCUCUUAGACAUCCAUCUUGAAUCAGGUGUUGUCCGCAGUUUUGACAGAUAUGUAACGCUUUUUGGUAGUUAGCUCAAAUCAGUCUUCGUAAUGAUUCUCCAUACACCUCAAGGUAGUAAGCAUAGCUUGACAUAUGAGAAAAUGGAGAUGUAAUAGUUCAGCAGUUGGGUCAUUUUAAGCAAGUCCAGUUCGAUAAGAAUUGUAACCAGAAAAGUCUCAUUUUGCGCUAGUUCAGUUUGAUAAGAAUGCCAACCAGAAAAGUGACAUAAGUAGUAGCGGCAUGAGCAAGCAUAAUAUCGAAGAAGGCAUGUUCGGAAGAAGAAUAUAUGUUGGGGACAGUAAUGAAUGUAGAAGGGAAGACAAAAGGUAAAAAUAGAAGGUUGUGUUCACUGCUAGAUCUGAAUGCGUGUGUGUGAUAAUGGAAGCAUAGAAGAUCAAAGUUGACUAUGUAGAUUGGGAAGAAACUCGGGUUAUAGGUCAGCAAGUACUACUUGACAUCCAGUUGAACUUGAGGUUCCCAAAAUUCAUGAAAGAACGUCUCCACUUACCUCCAGCUCUCAUCAAUGUUGGUAGAACUGUGCCUGUCACAAGGGCUCUCUGGAAGCAGCAAUGUCUACUCAGUUUCAGGAAUGCGCCAAGUAUAUGCUCUUUCGUAAAAAAUAAUCUGCUGUACCCCAUUCUCUUCCAAUGAUUUGGCUUCAAUCUGUUUGUCUUCCUAGAGUGACAGCAUUGUUUCUGUGAAGGAUACUAAUGUUAUGGCUUCUCAAAGAGAAUCUUGGCACAACAGACAAUUUCUGCUGAAAGCUUCAUGGAAUCAGAAAAUUAUCUGGGAUUAUUUACUUCCAGCUCUAAAUCUGGUGGCAAAGAGGCCUCGAGUCACUGGCUUUCAACAUCAACAUUCUCAUCUCAAAUGUAGUUAAAGUUUUCCUCCAGAAACGAGUACUCUUUUCAGAUCCUCCUGUCGCCUUGUGAUAUUAAGUUGGAACACUCUGCAUUACAGAUCCUCCUUGAUUUGUUUCCUGGCUUCCUGUUUACCGUUGUGCUAUUUUCUUUCUUUUUUGGUUCAUUUUUGUAUCUCAGUUUUCUCUUUUUGGUUUUGCAUUCCGUGUUGCCUUUUAUCAGAGUUUGCUUUGUAAACAUCCAUUUUGGAGGCCAAAUUGGAUUCAAUAAACUUGAGAUUCAACAGAGA